Molecule: long non-coding RNA, 393 nt
Organism: Mauremys mutica (yellowpond turtle)
Lineage: Eukaryota; Metazoa; Chordata; Testudines; Geoemydidae
Exons: 3
Source: RefSeq, a predicted model, not a curated record
UAAGAGCUUUCCAGAAGACAGGGAGGAUGCUAGGUUGACUGGGACACCUGAAGCCAAUCAGGGGCUUGCUGAAACUAGUUAAAAACCUCCCAGUUAGUCAGGUGGGCGUGCAUGGCAGGAGCUGUGAGAGGAAGCUGUGCUGGUGGAGAGACUAAGCUGUACACACCAUAUUAGGCACAAGGAAGGAGGCCCUGAGGUACUGGAAUGGCAAUGGACAAUAUUACCUGGAGACAACAUGUACCAGGAGAAUAGGAGAGGGCCAGUGAAAACUCUAAGGCAUGUUGACAGAGGAAGAAAUUCUAAAGGAACUGUCAGAAAGGUGAGAGGAACUGUCACAAAAUACUUUACAGCGUUGGAUAUGGUUCUUCUGACACAGGGAUAAAGGACAAGAGG